RNAcentral lists this non-coding RNA (30 nucleotides) under Bombyx mori (domestic silkworm). The record is from RNAcentral. Lineage: Eukaryota; Metazoa; Arthropoda; Insecta; Lepidoptera; Bombycidae.
UAGACCUAGGAUCCAGUAGCGCUGCCGCAC